RNAcentral lists this non-coding RNA (30 nucleotides) under Methanocaldococcus jannaschii DSM 2661. Lineage: Archaea; Methanobacteriati; Methanobacteriota; Methanococci; Methanococcales; Methanocaldococcaceae. The record is from RNAcentral.
AUUAAAAUCAGACUGUUUCGGAAUGGAAAU